UACAGAGGGUGCAAGCGUUGUUCGGAAUUAUUGGGCGUAAAGGGCGCGUAGGCGGCGCGGAAAGUCGUCGGUGAAAGCUCGGGGCUCAACCCUGAGUCUGCCGGUGAUACUCCCGCGCUCGAGCUCACUAGAGGCAGAUGGAAUUCCGGGUGUAGCGGUGGAAUGCGUAGAGAUCCGGAAGAACACCGGUGGCGAAGGCGGUCUGCUGGGGUGAGGCUGACGCUGAUGCGCGACGAGCGUGGGGAGCAAACAGG
This 254-nucleotide ribosomal RNA is filed under the name uncultured bacterium. RNAcentral's name for it is "partial 16S ribosomal RNA". It matches the Rfam family "Bacterial small subunit ribosomal RNA", at positions 524 to 776 of the family's 1533-position model. The record is from RNAcentral.